UACGUAGGGACCAAGCGUUGUUCGGAUUUACUGGGCGUAAAGGGCGCGUAGGCGGCGUGUCAAGUCAAUUGUGAAAUCUCCGAGCUUAACUCGGAACGGUCAAUUGAUACUGAUGUGCUAGAGUGCAGAAGGGGCAAUCGGAAUUCUUGGUGUAGCGGUGAAAUGCGUAGAUAUCAAGAGGAACACCUGAGGUGAAGACGGGUUGCUGGGCUGACACUGACGCUGAGGCGCGAAGCUAGGGUAGCAAACGGG
This 252-nucleotide ribosomal RNA is filed under the name uncultured bacterium. RNAcentral describes it as "partial 16S ribosomal RNA". It matches the Rfam family "Bacterial small subunit ribosomal RNA", at positions 524 to 776 of the family's 1533-position model. The record is from RNAcentral.